RNAcentral lists this ribosomal RNA (253 nucleotides) under uncultured bacterium. RNAcentral describes it as "partial 16S ribosomal RNA". It matches the Rfam family "Bacterial small subunit ribosomal RNA", at positions 524 to 776 of the family's 1533-position model. The record is from RNAcentral.
UACGUAGGGUGCGAGCGUUGUCCGGAAUUAUUGGGCGUAAAGAGCUCGUAGGCGGUUUGUCGCGUCUGCCGUGAAAGUCCGGGGCUCAACUCCGGAUCUGCGGUGGGUACGGGCAGACUAGAGUGAUGUAGGGGAGACUGGAAUUCCUGGUGUAGCGGUGAAAUGCGCAGAUAUCAGGAGGAACACCAAUGGCGAAGGCAGCUCGCUGGGACGGUACUGACGCUGAGGCGCGAAAGCGUGGGGAGCAAACAGG